Molecule: ribosomal RNA, 253 nt
Filed under: uncultured bacterium
Lineage: Bacteria
Description: partial 16S ribosomal RNA
Rfam family: Bacterial small subunit ribosomal RNA
Source: RNAcentral
UACGUAGGUGGCAAGCGUUGUCCGGAUUUACUGGGCGUAAAGAGCGCGCAGGCGGUCGUUCAAGUCGCGUGUGAAAGCCCCCGGCUCAACCGUGGAAGUGCACUCGAAACUGCGCAGCUAGAGUCCUGGAGAGGAAGGUGGAAUGCUUGGUGUAGAGGUGAAAUUCGUAGAUAUCAAGCGGAACACCGGUGGCGAAGGCGGCCUUCUGGACAGUGACUGACGCUGAGAUGCGAAAGCGUGGGGAGCAAACAGG